This 453-nucleotide ribosomal RNA is filed under the name Grimontella sp. AG753. Its description in RNAcentral is "bacterial LSU rRNA". It matches the Rfam family "Bacterial large subunit ribosomal RNA", at positions 1 to 492 of the family's 2925-position model. The record is from RNAcentral. Lineage: Bacteria; Pseudomonadati; Pseudomonadota; Gammaproteobacteria; Enterobacterales.
GAGGUUAAGCGACUAAGCGUACACGGUGGAUGCCCUGGCAGUCAGAGGCGAUGAAGGACGUGCUAAUCUGCGAAAAGCGCCGGCGAGGUGAUAUGAACCUUUGACCCGGCGAUGUCCGAAUGGGGAAACCCAGUGCAAUCCGUUGCACUAUCGUUUGAUGAAUACAUAGUCAAACGAGGCGAACCGGGGGAACUGAAACAUCUAAGUACCCCGAGGAAAAGAAAUCAACCGAGAUUCCCCCAGUAGCGGCGAGCGAACGGGGAGCAGCCCAGAGCCUGAAUCAGCUUGUGUGUUAGUGGAACGGUCUGGAAAGUCCGGCGAUACAGGGUGACAGCCCCGUACACGAAAGCACACAGGUUGUGAGCUCGAUGAGUAGGGCGGGACACGUGGUAUCCUGUCUGAAUAUGGGGGGACCAUCCUCCAAGGCUAAAUACUCCUGACUGACCGAUAGUG